This 87-nucleotide transfer RNA is filed under the name Salinivibrio costicola. RNAcentral's name for it is "tRNA-Leu". It matches the Rfam family "tRNA". Rfam says of the family: Transfer RNA (tRNA) molecules are approximately 80 nucleotides in length. Their secondary structure includes four short double-helical elements and three loops (D, anti-codon, and T loops). Further hydrogen bonds mediate the characteristic L-shaped molecular structure. tRNAs have two regions of fundamental functional importance: the anti-codon, which is responsible for specific mRNA codon recognition, and the 3' end, to which the tRNAs corresponding amino acid is attached (by aminoacyl-tRNA synthetases). tRNAs cope with the degeneracy of the genetic code in two manners: having more than one tRNA (with a specific anti-codon) for a particular amino acid; and 'wobble' base-pairing, i.e. permitting non-standard base-pairing at the 3rd anti-codon position. RNAcentral also lists the same sequence under 36 other names. The record is from RNAcentral. Lineage: Bacteria; Pseudomonadati; Pseudomonadota; Gammaproteobacteria; Vibrionales; Vibrionaceae.
GCCGAGAUGGCGGAAUUGGUAGACGCAGCGGAUUCAAAAUCCGCCGCCUUAACGGGUGUGAGGGUUCAAGUCCCUCUCUCGGCACCA